This 465-nucleotide ribosomal RNA is filed under the name uncultured bacterium. RNAcentral describes it as "partial 16S ribosomal RNA". It matches the Rfam family "Bacterial small subunit ribosomal RNA", at positions 28 to 507 of the family's 1533-position model. The record is from RNAcentral.
GACGAACGCUGGCGGCGUGCUUAACACAUGCAAGUCGAACGGAAAGGCCCUGCUUGCCGGGUACUCGAGUGGCGAACGGGUGAGUAACACGUGGGUGAUCUGCCCUGCACUUCGGGAUAAGCCUGGGAAACUGGGUCUAAUACCGGAUAGGAGCCAUUUUUAGUGUGAUGGUUGGAAAGUUUUUUCGGUGUAGGAUGAGCUCGCGGCCUAUCAGCUUGUUGGUGGGGUAAUGGCCUACCAAGGCGGCGACGGGUAGCCGGCCUGAGAGGGUGGACGGCCACAUUGGGACUGAGAUACGGCCCAGACUCCUACGGGAGGCAGCAGUGGGGAAUAUUGCACAAGGGGCGCAAGCCUGAUGCAGCGACGCCGCGGGGGGGAUGACGGCCUUCGGGUUGUAAACUCCUUUCGCUAGGGACGAAGCUUUUUGUGACGGUACCUAGAUAAGAAGCACCGGCUAACUACGUG